RNAcentral lists this ribosomal RNA (804 nucleotides) under uncultured Entrophospora. RNAcentral's name for it is "SSU rRNA". It matches the Rfam family "Eukaryotic small subunit ribosomal RNA", at positions 314 to 1114 of the family's 1831-position model. Lineage: Eukaryota; Fungi; Glomeromycota; Glomeromycetes; Entrophosporales; Entrophosporaceae. The record is from RNAcentral.
AUCAACUUUCGAUGGUAGGAUAGAGGCCUACCAUGGUGGUAACGGGUAACGGGGUGUUAGGGCACGACACCGGAGAGGGAGCCUGAGAAACGGCUACCACAUCCAAGGAUGGCAGCAGGCGCGCAAAUUACCCAAUCCCGACACGGGGAGGUAGUGACAAUAAAUAACAAUACGGGGCUCUUUAGGGUCUCGUAAUUGGAAUGAGUACAAUUUAAAUCCCUUAACGAGGAACAAUUGGAGGGCAAGUCUGGUGCCAGCAGCCGCGGUAAUUCCAGCUCCAAUAGCGUAUAUUAAAGUUGUUGCAGUUAAAAAGCUCGUAGUUGAAUUUCGGGAUUUGCACAUCGGUCGUGCCUUAAGGGGUAUGAACUGGUGUAGUGAAUUUCUCACCUUCUGGAGAACCGCGAUGUCCUUAAUUGGGUGUCGCGGGGAAUCAGGACUGUUACUUUGAAAAAAUUAGAGUGUUUAAAGCAGGCUUACGCUUGAAUACAUUAGCAUGGAAUAAUGAAAUAGGACGGACUGAUUCUAUUUCGUUGGUUUCUAGGAUCACCGUAAUGAUUAAUAGGGAUAGUUGGGGGCAUUAGUAUUCAAUUGUCAGAGGUGAAAUUCUUGGAUUUAUUGAAGACUAACUACUGCGAAAGCAUUUGCCAAGGAUGUUUUCAUUAAUCAAGAACGAAAGUUAGGGGAUCGAAGACGAUCAGAUACCGUCGUAGUCUUAACCAUAAACUAUGCCGACUAGGGAUCGGACGAAGUUAAUUUUAUAAUGACGCGUUCGGCACCUUACGGGAAACCAAAGUGUUUGGGUUC